GAAUUCAACUCCUACGGGAGGCAGCAGUGGGGAAUAUUGCACAAUGGGCGCAAGCCUGAUGCAGCCAUGCCGCGUGUAUGAAGAAGGCCUUCGGGUUGUAAAGUACUUUCAGCGGGGAGGAAGGGAGUAAAGUUAAUACCUUUGCUCAUUGACGUUACCCGCAGAAGAAGCACCGGCUAACUCCGUGCCAGCAGCCGCGGUAAUACGGAGGGUGCAAGCGUUAAUCGGAAUUACUGGGCGUAAAGCGCACGCAGGCGGUUUGUUAAGUCAGAUGUGAAAUCCCCGGGCUCAACCUGGGAACUGCAUCUGAUACUGGCAAGCUUGAGUCUCGUAGAGGGGGGUAGAAUUCCAGGUGUAGCGGUGAAAUGCGUAGAGAUCUGGAGGAAUACCGGUGGCGAAGGCGGCCCCCUGGACGAAGACUGACGCUCAGGUGCGAAAGCGUGGGGAGCAAACAGGAUUAGAAACCCUAGUAGUCCAGGCGUU
RNAcentral lists this ribosomal RNA (483 nucleotides) under uncultured bacterium. RNAcentral's name for it is "bacterial SSU rRNA". It matches the Rfam family "Bacterial small subunit ribosomal RNA", at positions 328 to 803 of the family's 1533-position model. The record is from RNAcentral.